RNAcentral lists this ribosomal RNA (430 nucleotides) under uncultured bacterium. RNAcentral describes it as "bacterial SSU rRNA". It matches the Rfam family "Bacterial small subunit ribosomal RNA", at positions 523 to 953 of the family's 1533-position model. The record is from RNAcentral.
AUACGUAGGGGGCGAGCGUUGUCCGGAUUUAUUGGGCGUAAAGAGCUCGUAGGCGGUUCAACAAGUCGGUCGUGAAAGUUCAGGGCUCAACCCUGAAAUGUCGAUCGAUACUGUUGUGACUAGGAUACGGUAGAGGUGAGUGGAAUUCCUAGUGUAGCGGUGGAAUGCGCAGAUAUUAGGAAGAACACCAGUGGCGAAGGCGGCCUUCUGGGCCAUAACUGACGCUGAGGAGCGAAAGCUAGGGGAGCAAACAGGAUUAGAUACCCUGGUAGUCCUAGGCCGUAAACGAUGGACACUAGGUGUGGGGGAGCAUUUCUUCCGUGCCGCAGCUAACGCAUUAAGUGUCCCGCCUGGGGAGUACGGCCGCAAGGCUAAAACUCAAAGGAAUUGACGGGGCCCGCACAAGCAGCGGAGCAUGUGGUUUAAUUCG